GUGUGAUAAUAAUCAGUACUGUGUGUGCUAUCCCUGUGUGAUAAUAACCAGUACUGUGUGUGCCAUCCCUGUGUGAUAAUAACCAGUACUGUGUGUGCCAUCCCUGUGUGAUAAUAACCAGUACUGUGUGUGCUAUCCCGGUGUGAUAAUAACCAGUACUGUGUGUGCCAUCCCUGUGUGAUAAUAACCAGUACUGUGUGUGCCAUCCCUGUGUGAUAAUAACCAGUACUGUGUGUGCCAUCCCUGUGUGAUAAUAACCAGUACUGUGUGUGCCAUCCCUGUGUGAUAAUAACCAGUACUGUGUGUGCCAUCCCUGUGUGAUAAUAACCAGUACUGUGUGUGCUAUCCCUGUGUGAUAAUAACCAGUACUGUGUGUGCUAUCCCUGUGUGAUAAUAACCAGUACUGUGUGUGCCAUCCCUGUGUGAUAAUAACCAGUACUGUGUGUGCCAUCCCUGUGUGAUAAUAACCAGUACU
This is a non-coding RNA of Pelobates cultripes (western spadefoot toad), 475 nucleotides long. The record is from the annotation of a GenBank genome assembly. Lineage: Eukaryota; Metazoa; Chordata; Amphibia; Anura; Pelobatidae.